AGAGUUUGAUCAUGGCUCAGGAUGAACGCUGGCGGCGUGCUUAACACAUGCAAGUCGAACGAUGAUCCGGUGCUUGCGCCGGGGAUUAGUGGCGAACGGGUGAGUAACACGUGAGUAACCUGCCCUUGACUCUGGGAUAAGCCUGGGAAACUGGGUCUAAUACCGGAUAUGACUCCUCAUCGCAUGGUGGGGGGUGGAAAGCUUUUUGUGGUUUUGGAUGGACUCGCGGCCUAUCAGCUUGUUGGUGGGGUAAUGGCCUACCAAGGCGACGACGGGUAGCCGGCCUGAGAGGGUGACCGGCCACACUGGGACUGAGACACGGCCCAGACUCCUACGGGAGGCAGCAGUGGGGAAUAUUGCACAAUGGGCGAAAGCCUGAUGCAGCGACGCCGCGUGAGGGAUGACGGCCUUCGGGUUGUAAACCUCUUUCAGUAGGGAAGAAGCCCUCUUUGGGGGUGACGGUACUUGCAGAAGAGGCGCCGGCUAACUACGUGCCAGCAGCCGCGGUAAUACGUAGGGCGCAAGCGUUAUCCGGAAUUAUUGGGCGUAAAGAGCUCGUAGGCGGUUUGUCGCGUCUGCUGUGAAAGACCGGGGCUCAACUCCGGUUCUGCAGUGGGUACGGGCAGACUAGAGUGCAGUAGGGGAGACUGGAAUUCCUGGUGUAGCGGUGAAAUGCGCAGAUAUCAGGAGGAACACCGAUGGCGAAAG
Molecule: ribosomal RNA, 708 nt
Filed under: uncultured bacterium
Lineage: Bacteria
Description: bacterial SSU rRNA
Rfam family: Bacterial small subunit ribosomal RNA
Source: RNAcentral